UACGUAGGGCGCAAGCGUUGUCCGGAAUCAUUGGGCGUAAAGCGCGUGUAGGCGGCUCGAUAAGUCCGGUGUGAAACCUUGGGGCUCAACCCCAAGCCUGCACUGGAUACUGCCGAGCUAGAGUGCGGUAGAGGAUGGUGGAAUUCCCGGUGUAGCGGUGAAAUGCGUAGAGAUCGGGAGGAACACCCGUGGCGAAGGCGGCCAUCUGGACCAGCACUGACGCUGAGGCACGAAAGCGUGGGGAGCAAACAGGG
This 254-nucleotide ribosomal RNA is filed under the name uncultured bacterium. RNAcentral describes it as "partial 16S ribosomal RNA". It matches the Rfam family "Bacterial small subunit ribosomal RNA", at positions 524 to 777 of the family's 1533-position model. The record is from RNAcentral.